This is a long non-coding RNA of Bos taurus (domestic cattle), 1209 nucleotides long. The record is from Ensembl. Lineage: Eukaryota; Metazoa; Chordata; Mammalia; Artiodactyla; Bovidae.
CCACUCUGGGUCUGGGGAGAAGGAUGUUUUACCUGUCGCCUAUGCUUCAGUCGUUACCUAGGAGACGGGACCCGUCUGGCUGCCUUAGAGUUGGCGCCUGCGCACUGAGAGUUGGCGCCUGCCAGUGGCGUGAGGGGCUUCAUCAGCGCAAAGCAUAUCCGUUGUUUUGCCACAGUUGUCACAGACAUGAAGUUCUGUGAAUCGGAGUAGUGUACUGACAGACUAAUGCACUGAUAGAUGGGACAGAAAGGCAAGAUAAUGUCUUUUGCAGGCUCAGGAGUCAAAGGGCACAUUUGAAUCCUGGCGCACCUCUCUCUAUCCAUGUGAUGUCCUGCAAUUUAAGGUCUGUAUACCCUAGUUUCCUCUUCUGUAUUAAAAAAAAAAAAAAAAAGGAGGCUAUAAUAUUAAUAAUAACCUUAAUAGCCAUAAAGAAAGCUGAGCGCCAGAGAAUUGAUGCUUUUGAACUGUGUUGUUGGCGAGUACUCUUGAGAGUCCCUUGAACUGCAAGGAGAUCCAGCCAGUCCAUCCUAAAGGAAAUCAGUCCUGAAUAUUCAUUGGAAGGAAUGAUGUCGAAGCUGAAGCUCCAAUACUUUGGACAUCCCACGCGAAGAACUGACUCAUUGGAAAAGACCCUGAUGCUGGGAAAGAUUGAGCACAGGAGGAGAAGUAGACGACAGAGGAUGAGAUGGUUGGAUGCCAUCAACGACUCGAUGGACAUGAGUUUGAGCAAACUCCUGGAUGUUGGUGAUGGACAGAGAAGCCUGAUGUGCUGCCGUGCAUGGGGUAGCAAAGAGUCGGACACGGCUGAGUGACGGAACAGAGGUGAACUGGUGUUGCUAGUAUAUCAUGCGGAAUACCAGAUUGGAUGAAGCACAAACUGGACUCAAGAUUGCCAGGAGAAAUAUCAAUAACCACAGAUACGCAGAUGACACCACCUUUAUGGCAGAAAACAAAGAAGAACUAAAGAGGCUCUAGAUGGAAGUGAAAAAGGAGAGCAAAAAUUUGGCUUAAAACUCGACAUUCAGAAAUCUAAGAUCAUGGCAUCCAGUCCCAUCACUUAAUGGUGAAUAGAUGGGGAAACAAUGGUAACAGUGACAGACUUUAUUUUUGGGGGCUCCAAAAUCACUUCAGAUGGUGACUGCAGCCAUGAAAUUAAAAGGUGCUUGCUCCUUGGGAGGAAAGCUAUUCCAACCUAGACAGCAUAUUAAA